UUGGCCUCAAAUCAGGUAGGACUACCCGCUGAACUUAAGCAUAUCAAUAAGCGGAGGAAAAGAAACUAACAAGGAUUCCCCUAGUAACUGCGAGUGAAGCGGGAAAAGCUCAAAUUUAAAAUCUGGCGGUCUUUGGCCGUCCGAGUUGUAAUCUAGAGAAGUGUUACCCGCGCUGGACCGUGUACAAGUCUCCUGGAAUGGAGCGUCAUAGAGGGUGAGAAUCCCGUCUCUGACACGGACUCCCAGGGCUUUGUGGUAUGCUCUCAAAGAGUCGAGUUGUUUGGGAAUGCAGCUCUAAAUGGGUGGUAAAUUCCAUCUAAAGCUAAAUAUUGGCGAGAGACCGAUAGCGAACAAGUACCGUGAGGGAAAGAUGAAAAGAACUUUGGAAAGAGAGUUAAACAGUACGUGAAAUUGCUGAAAGGGAAACGCUUGAAGUCAGUCGCGUUGACCAGGGAUCAGCCUCGCAUUUGCGUGGUGCACUUUCUGGUUGACGGGUCAGCAUCAAUUUUGACUACUGGAAAAAGUCCUGAGGAAUGUGGCAGCUCCGGCUGUGUUAUAGCCUCUGGUCGCAUACAGUGGUUGGGAUUGAGGAACUCAGCA
RNAcentral lists this ribosomal RNA (600 nucleotides) under Echinoderma asperum. RNAcentral describes it as "eukaryotic LSU rRNA". It matches the Rfam family "Eukaryotic large subunit ribosomal RNA", at positions 1 to 600 of the family's 3401-position model. Lineage: Eukaryota; Fungi; Basidiomycota; Agaricomycetes; Agaricales; Agaricaceae. The record is from RNAcentral.